CGACUUUCUGGUCUGUAACUGACAAUGAGGCGAGGAAAGCGUGGGGAGCAAACAGGAUUAGAUCCCCUGGUAGUCCACGCCGUAAACGAUGAGUGCUAAGUGUUAGAGGGUUUCCGCCCUUUAGUGCUGCAGAUAACGCAUUAAGCACUCCGCCUGGGGAGUACGGUCGCAAGACUGAAACUCAAAGGAAUUGACGGGGGCCCGCACAAGCGGUGGAGCAUGUGGUUUAAUUAGAAGCAACGCGAAGAACCUUACCAGGUCUUGACAUCCUCUGACAACUCUAGAGAUAGAGCGUUCCCCUUCGGGGGACAGAGUGACAGGUGGUGCGUGGUUGUCGUCAGCUCGUGUCGUGAGAUGUUGGGUUAAGUCCCGCAACGAGCGCAACCCUUGAUUUUAGUUGCCAGCAUUUAGUUGGGCACUAUAAGGUGACUGCCGGUGACAAACCGGAGGAAGGUGGGGAAGACGUCAAAUCAUCAUGCCCCUUAUGACCUGGGCUACACACGUGCUACAAUGGAUGGUACGAAGGGCUGCGAGACCGCGAGGUCAAGCCAAUCCCAUAAAACCAUUCUCAGUUCGGAUUGUAGGCUACAACUCGCCUACAUGAAGCUGGAAUCGCUAGUAAUCGCGGAUCAGCAUGCCGCGGGGAAUACGUUCCCGGGCCUUGUACACACCGCCCGUCACACCAGGGGAGUUUGUAACCCCCGAAGUCGGUGGGGUAACCGUAAGGAGCUAGCCCGCCUAAAGGUUUAACAAGAGGAUGGU
RNAcentral lists this ribosomal RNA (762 nucleotides) under uncultured bacterium. RNAcentral describes it as "bacterial SSU rRNA". It matches the Rfam family "Bacterial small subunit ribosomal RNA", at positions 722 to 1481 of the family's 1533-position model. The record is from RNAcentral.